Molecule: small nuclear RNA, 107 nt
Organism: Capra hircus (goat)
Lineage: Eukaryota; Metazoa; Chordata; Mammalia; Artiodactyla; Bovidae
Source: Ensembl
AAGCUGGAGUCAGGAGCACGUAUAGUAAAACUGGAACAAUAUGCAGAAGGUUAGCAAAGCCUCUGAGCAAGGUUGACAUGCGCAUGUGUGAGGUGCCCCACAUUCGU